UACGCAGGCGGGAAGGUAGGUCAGAUGUGAAAACCCAAGGCUUAACCAUGGGCUUGCAUCUGAAACCACUUUUCUUGAGUAUCGGAGAGGAAAGCGGAACUCCUGGUGUAGCGGUGAAAUGCGUAGAUAUCAGGAGGAACACCGGUAGCGAAGGCGGCUUUCUGGCCGAAUACUGACGCUCAUGUACGAAGGCCGGGGGAGCAAACA
Molecule: ribosomal RNA, 207 nt
Filed under: uncultured bacterium
Lineage: Bacteria
Description: partial 16S ribosomal RNA
Rfam family: Bacterial small subunit ribosomal RNA
Source: RNAcentral